This 468-nucleotide ribosomal RNA is filed under the name uncultured bacterium. RNAcentral describes it as "partial 16S ribosomal RNA". It matches the Rfam family "Bacterial small subunit ribosomal RNA", at positions 28 to 507 of the family's 1533-position model. The record is from RNAcentral.
GACGAACGCUGGCGGCGUGCUUAACACAUGCAAGUCGAACGGAAAGGCCCUGCUUAUGUGGGGUGCCCGAGUGGCGAACGGGUGAGUAACACGUGAGUAACUUGCCCUUGCUUUUGGGAUAACUUCAGGAUACUGGGGCUUAUACCGGAUAGGAGCUCCUGCUGCAGGGGGGGGGUUGGAUAGUUUCGGCGGCUGGGUAGGGCCUCCCGGCUUCUCAGCGUGUUGGUGGGGUAGAGGCUUACCAAGGCGUUGACGGGUAGCCGGCCUGAGUGGGUGACCGGCGACAAUGGGACUGAGGUACGGCCCAGACGCGUAUGGCAGGGAGCAGUGGGGAAUAUUGCACAAUGGGCGGAAGCCUGAUGCAGCACCGCCGCGUGCGGGAUGACGGCCUUCGGGUUGUAAACCGCUUUCGCCUGUGACGAAGCGUGAGUGACGGUAAUGGGUAAAGAGGCACGGGCUAACUACGUG